RNAcentral lists this ribosomal RNA (253 nucleotides) under uncultured bacterium. Its description in RNAcentral is "partial 16S ribosomal RNA". It matches the Rfam family "Bacterial small subunit ribosomal RNA", at positions 524 to 776 of the family's 1533-position model. The record is from RNAcentral.
UACGUAGGGUGCGAGCGUUAAUCGGAAUUACUGGGCGUAAAGCGUGCGCAGGCGGUUUUGUAAGCCAGAUGUGAAAUCCCCGGGCUCAACCUGGGAAUGGCAUUUGGGACUGCAAGGCUGGAGUUUGGCAGAGGAGACUGGAAUUCCUGGUGUAGCAGUGAAAUGCGUAGAUAUCAGGAGGAAUACCGAUGGCGAAGGCAGGUCUCUGGGCUGACACUGACGCUCAUGCACGAAAGCGUGGGGAGCAAACAGG